RNAcentral lists this transfer RNA (87 nucleotides) under Dehalogenimonas alkenigignens. It matches the Rfam family "tRNA". From Rfam's summary of the family: Transfer RNA (tRNA) molecules are approximately 80 nucleotides in length. Their secondary structure includes four short double-helical elements and three loops (D, anti-codon, and T loops). Further hydrogen bonds mediate the characteristic L-shaped molecular structure. tRNAs have two regions of fundamental functional importance: the anti-codon, which is responsible for specific mRNA codon recognition, and the 3' end, to which the tRNAs corresponding amino acid is attached (by aminoacyl-tRNA synthetases). tRNAs cope with the degeneracy of the genetic code in two manners: having more than one tRNA (with a specific anti-codon) for a particular amino acid; and 'wobble' base-pairing, i.e. permitting non-standard base-pairing at the 3rd anti-codon position. Lineage: Bacteria; Bacillati; Chloroflexota; Dehalococcoidia; Dehalococcoidales; Dehalococcoidaceae. The record is from Rfam by way of RNAcentral.
GGAGAGGUGCUGGAGUGGACUAUCAGGCACGCCUGGAGAGCGUGAGUCGAGGUAACUCGACCGUGGGUUCGAAUCCCACCCUCUCCG